RNAcentral lists this ribosomal RNA (548 nucleotides) under Bifidobacterium animalis subsp. lactis. RNAcentral describes it as "bacterial SSU rRNA". It matches the Rfam family "Bacterial small subunit ribosomal RNA", at positions 158 to 708 of the family's 1533-position model. Lineage: Bacteria; Bacillati; Actinomycetota; Actinomycetes; Bifidobacteriales; Bifidobacteriaceae. The record is from RNAcentral.
GGGUGGUAAUACCGGAUGCUCCGCUCCAUCGCAUGGUGGGGUGGGAAAUGCUUUUGCGGCAUGGGAUGGGGUCGCGUCCUAUCAGCUUGUUGGCGGGGUGAUGGCCCACCAAGGCGUUGACGGGUAGCCGGCCUGAGAGGGUGACCGGCCACAUUGGGACUGAGAUACGGCCCAGACUCCUACGGGAGGCAGCAGUGGGGAAUAUUGCACAAUGGGCGCAAGCCUGAUGCAGCGACGCCGCGUGCGGGAUGGAGGCCUUCGGGUUGUAAACCGCUUUUGUUCAAGGGCAAGGCACGGUUUCGGCCGUGUUGAGUGGAUUGUUCGAAUAAGCACCGGCUAACUACGUGCCAGCAGCCGCGGUAAUACGUAGGGUGCGAGCGUUAUCCGGAUUUAUUGGGCGUAAAGGGCUCGUAGGCGGUUCGUCGCGUCCGGUGUGAAAGUCCAUCGCCUAACGGUGGAUCUGCGCCGGGUACGGGCGGGCUGGAGUGCGGUAGGGGAGACUGGAAUUCCCGGUGUAACGGUGGAAUGUGUAGAUAUCGGAAAGAACA